RNAcentral lists this ribosomal RNA (253 nucleotides) under uncultured bacterium. RNAcentral's name for it is "partial 16S ribosomal RNA". It matches the Rfam family "Bacterial small subunit ribosomal RNA", at positions 524 to 776 of the family's 1533-position model. The record is from RNAcentral.
UACAGAGGUCUCAAGCGUUGUUCGGAUUCAUUGGGCGUAAAGGGUGUGUAGGUGGCGCCGUAAGUCGGGUGUGAAAUUUCGGAGCUUAACUCCGAAACUGCAUUCGAUACUGCGGUGCUUGAGGACUGGAGAGGAGACUGGAAUUCAUGGUGUAGCAGUGAAAUGCGUAGAUAUCAUGAGGAAUACCAGAGGCGAAGGCGGCUACCUGGACAAUUGCUGACGCUCAGGCACGAAAGCGUGGGGAGCAAAAGGG